UGGGGAAUUUUGCACAAUGGGGGAAACCCUGAUGCAGCGACGCCGCGUGAUUUAGAAGGCCUUCGGGUUGUAAAAAUCUUUUCUAUGGGAAGAAAAUGACAGUACCAUAGGAAUAAGGACCGGCUAAUUACGUGCCAGCAGCCGCGGUAAUACGUAAGGUCCGAGCGUUGUCCGGAAUCAUUGGGCGUAAAGGGUACGUAGGCGGGUAAGCAAGUUAGAAGUGAAAUCCUAUAGCUCAACUAUAGGAAGCUUUUAAUACUACUCCUCUUGAGGUAUGGAAGGGAAAGUGGAAUUCCUUUUGUUGCGGUGAAAUGCGCAGAUAUUAGGAUGAAUACAGGUGGCGUAGGCGACUUUCUGGCCAUAACCUGACGCUGAGGUACGAAAGCGUGGGUAGCAAACAGG
This 402-nucleotide ribosomal RNA is filed under the name bacterium. Its description in RNAcentral is "partial 16S ribosomal RNA". It matches the Rfam family "Bacterial small subunit ribosomal RNA", at positions 355 to 776 of the family's 1533-position model. The record is from RNAcentral.